This 415-nucleotide ribosomal RNA is filed under the name uncultured crenarchaeote. RNAcentral's name for it is "partial 16S ribosomal RNA". It matches the Rfam family "Archaeal small subunit ribosomal RNA", at positions 330 to 747 of the family's 1478-position model. Lineage: Archaea; Thermoproteati; Thermoproteota. The record is from RNAcentral.
GUGCAGCAGUCGCGCAACCUCUGCAAUACGCGAAAGCGUGACAGGGCUACCCCGAGUGCCGUCCGCUGAGGAUGGCUUUUCUCCGGUGUAGUAAGCCGGAGGAAUAAGGAGAGGGCAAGUCUGGUGUCAGCCGCCGCGGUAAUACCAGCUCUCCGAGUGGUAGGGACGAUUAUUGGGCCUAAAGCGUCCGUAGCCGGCCAAGCAAGUUUCCCGCUAAAUCCAGCGAUUCAAUCGUUGGAUUGCGAGGGAUACUGUUCGGCUAGGGGGUGAGAGAGGCCAACGGUAUUCCCGGGGUAGGGGUGAAAUCCUAUAAUCCCGGGAGGACCACCAGUGGCGAAGGCGGUUGGCUAGAACACGCCCGACGGUGAGGGAUGAAAGCUGGGGGAGCGAACCGGAUUAGAUACCCGCGUAGUCC